CCGUGACGUCAUUUGACAGCUCGCGUGCACUGUUUACAUAGACUUGGUCGUUUUCGAAACGAAAAGUGCGGGGUAUUUUUUUUAUUCAAAGUCGGUCGAAAUUGCAAAGCUAAGCGGAAACCGAAGGCGAAGUGGGCGGCAAACUUGUUUACAUGACCUGCUCGCUGAACCCGAAUGAAAACGAAUCCGUGCUGCUGGCGGAGAUGGUCGAGCAAUGCCUCGUUCCGACGCUCAAGCAAAGCCCUGGGAACCGACCACCAAGGACAUGCAAAUCCCGGAAAACUACCGCACCGUCUUCCGACCGCUUAUGCUCCAGCUCCAGCUCCCGAGGACUUAGUCAAGUUCAACCGAUUCAACCUCGCCCUCCUCCACCAACAAAACACCGGCAGAUUCUUCAUCGUCCUGUUUGAAAGAAAAAGAAGCUGCUCUCGGAGGAUUUCCAUCAAAAACCGCCGUCGAAGGCCUGCGUAGCGGAACCACCCCAAAAGAAGCUAAAACGCUACCACCGCAACCCGCUCAACCUCCUGACUCGGUGCCGCGAAGACAAAAAGAAGAACAUUUACUGGCCCAGGAGGGUGGAGACCAAGACCUUUUUGCAUUUCGGAUUGACCGUACUUCGGUUGCUGGUCAACUACAGUCUAGCGGACCAUGUCGUCAGGGUUGUUACGGAGAAGCCGAAAACAAAAUCCGCGCGAACUCCGCGCCACAUAAAAAAAAUACACAGAGUUUCAUAA
This is a long non-coding RNA of Culex quinquefasciatus (southern house mosquito), 734 nucleotides long. RefSeq lists it as uncharacterized. The record is from RefSeq and is a predicted model, not a curated record. Lineage: Eukaryota; Metazoa; Arthropoda; Insecta; Diptera; Culicidae. The transcript is spliced from 2 exons.